GACGAACGCUGGCGGCGUGCCUAAUACAUGCAAGUAGAACGCUGAAGCUUGGUGCUUGUACCGAGCGGAUGAGUUGCGAACGGGUGAGUAACGCGUAGGUAACCUUCCUGGUAGCGGGGGAUAACUACUGGAAACGAUAGCUAAUACCGCAUAAUAGUAGAUGUUGCAUGACAUUUGCUUAAUAGGUGCAAUUGCAUCACUACCAGGUGGAUCUGCGUUGUAUUAGCUAGUUGGUGAGGUAACGGCUCACCAAGGCAACGAUACAUAGCCGACCUGAGAGGGUGAUCGGCCACACUGGGACUGAGACACGGCCCAGACUCCUACGGGAGGCCGCAGUAGGGAAUCUUCGGCAAUGGACGGAAGGCUGGCCGAGCAACGCCGGGUUAGUGAAGGAGGGUUUCGGGUCGUAAAGCUCUGUUGUAAGAGAAGAACGAGUGUGAGAGUGGAAAGUUCACGCUGUGACGGUAUCUUACCAGAAAGGGACGGCUAACUACGUG
RNAcentral lists this ribosomal RNA (497 nucleotides) under uncultured bacterium. Its description in RNAcentral is "partial 16S ribosomal RNA". It matches the Rfam family "Bacterial small subunit ribosomal RNA", at positions 28 to 507 of the family's 1533-position model. The record is from RNAcentral.